CUAGGAAUCUUGCGCAAUGGGAGAAAUCCUGACGCAGCAACGCCGCGUGGGUGAUGAAGGCCUUCGGGUUGUAAAGCCCUUUUAGUGGGGACGAAACAAAUGACGGUACCCGCAGAAAAAGCACCGGCUAACUCUGUGCCAGCAGCCGCGGUAAUACAGAGGGUGCAAGCGUUAUUCGGAAUUACUGGGCGUAAAGCGCAUGUAGGCGGUUCGGUAAGUCUGGUGUGAAAGCCCCCGGCUCAAUCGGGGAAGUGCACCGGAUACUGCCAGACUGGAGUACAGGAGGGGAGAACGGAAUUCCUGGUGUAGAGGUGAAAUUCGUAGAUAUCAGGAGGAACAACUGCGGCGAAGGCGGUUCUCUGGACUGUAACUGACGCUGAGAUGCGAAAGCGUGGGGAGCAAACAGGAUUAGAUACCCUGGUAGUCCACGCCGUAAACGAUGGGCACUAGGUGUCGCGGGUAUUGACCCCUGCGGUGACGACGCUAACGCAUGAAGUGCCCCGCCUGGGGAUUACGGCCGCAAGGCUA
Molecule: ribosomal RNA, 528 nt
Filed under: uncultured bacterium
Lineage: Bacteria
Description: bacterial SSU rRNA
Rfam family: Bacterial small subunit ribosomal RNA
Source: RNAcentral